CACACCAGGCAAACUCCGUGUUAUACUGACUAAUGAUGAUGAAGAAGUAGAGGUUAAAGUGUUUGACCUUACAACCGGUACUGUUGAUGUGACGUUUAACAAACCCGGCGACAAAGUCAGCUUUGUAGUUGAGCCAGAUGAGGAGGGGUGCCAGUGUACAGUUGUCUUCUGUAGACAUUGAAGUCUGCCUUAAAGUAUCGCCAACUGAAGGCACACCAGCCACAACAGCAGGAACACCAGCCACAACAGCAGGAACACCAGCCACAACUGCAGGAACACCAGCCACAACAGCAGGAACACCAGCUACCACUGCCGGAACACCAGC
Liolophura sinensis is the source of this 325-nucleotide long non-coding RNA. RefSeq lists it as uncharacterized. The transcript has 3 exons. The record is from RefSeq and is a predicted model, not a curated record. Lineage: Eukaryota; Metazoa; Mollusca; Polyplacophora; Chitonida; Chitonidae.